This is a long non-coding RNA of Magnolia sinica, 431 nucleotides long. RefSeq lists it as uncharacterized. The record is from RefSeq and is a predicted model, not a curated record. Lineage: Eukaryota; Viridiplantae; Streptophyta; Magnoliopsida; Magnoliales; Magnoliaceae. The transcript has 3 exons.
UGGGAUAAAGUUCACAACGUCGUUUCCUUCCUGCAUUCGAUGUACAAGGUCCUUCGAGCCGUAGAUAAUGAGAUGUGGCCUUCGAUGGGGUCAAUGUAUGAGCUCAUGAGAAUUAUGAGAGAGGGGAUAAUGACUACAAUCCCCAGUUCGUAUCAGUGGAUGAUCAAUAUCAUCGAUCAUUGAUGGACCGGGACUCGAGCAUCCAAUCCACCAAGCCGCAUACUACCUGAAUCCCAAAUUUCAUUAUAAACGUUGGCUCCAUGAGAAUCAAGAUUUGACGAUGGCCGUCCACGAGGCGUUCGAACGAUUGUUCCGAGAAUCAACAGCGCAAGCAGAUUUUGGUAACCAGUUGUUGCGGUUUAGGGAUGCGAGGGGUACGUUUUCAUCCACACUAGCAAAAGCAUCGACUGAAACAAUGAUGCCGUGUGAGU